Vicia villosa (hairy vetch) is the source of this 4987-nucleotide long non-coding RNA. RefSeq lists it as uncharacterized. The transcript is spliced from 3 exons. Lineage: Eukaryota; Viridiplantae; Streptophyta; Magnoliopsida; Fabales; Fabaceae. The record is from RefSeq and is a predicted model, not a curated record.
UAGCUGCAGUUCUGACUUGCAAUAUUCAAGUUCAAGCUUCCUUUUAUUUACUUGAUCCCUGAGAAAAUGAUAACUCCUCUCUAUGUUUUUACUUCGACCAUGACACAUAGGAUGAUUGGCUAGGUCGAUAGAUAAAUUGUCAUCUACAAACAACUUUAUUUUCUCAGGUUCCAUGAUCUUGAGCUUUUCCAUCAGCAUCUCUAUCCAUACUGCUUGACAUGUUGCAUAUGUUGCCGCCACAUACUCAGAUUCACACUGUGACAAUGAUUUGCUUUCUUGAGCUCUAACAGAUUAGAGCGCCUCCUAUCAGGAAUAUGUAGUCAACAAUACUCUUUUUCUCAUAUUGAUCUCCAUUAAAAUCUGAAUCAGUGUAACCAUGUACCUCUGCAUCUGUAGUGAUAAUCUUCUUCCUUGGCACCAACAAAACAUGGUUAAUCGUACCUUUGAUUUAUCUUAGCACUUUAUUGACGGCAAUGAGAUGACAUUCUUGGGGUUUCUCCAUGAAUCUGCUCAACAACCCGAAACCUACUUUGAUUAGGAAGCUAUCUAUUCUCUUAUUCCAAACUCUCGGGGCUUGCUUCAAUCCAUAUAUAGCCUUCCUCAAUAUGUACACCUUCUACUUUUGCCAUUUGGUUUUGAACCCUGGUGGUUAAGUGACAUAGACCUCUUUUUCUAAUGGUUUAUUGAGAAAUGUUGACUUUAUAUCUAAUUGGUGUAUCUUCCAUCCUUUUUAUGAUGCAGUCGAGACCAUAAUUUUGCUUGUCUAUGGCCUUGCAAGAGGUGCAUAGACUUCAUAAAAAUUAGUACUAAGUUUUUGUAUAAAGCUUCUUGAAACUAGUCUUGCCUUAUGCUUGGCAAUUUCAUUGUUUGGUCUUCGUUUUAACUUAUAUACCCACUUCAAAUUAAUUGGCUUCUUGCUUGAUCUUUUGACAAGCUCAUAGGUCUUGUUCUUCUUGAUUUCCCAGAGUUUUUCUUUCAUGACUACCAAAUAAUUCGAGUCAUUCAUGGCUUGAUCCAAAUUAAUUGGUUGUGAUUCAGCCAUCAUCAUUGCUUCUUCUAUGAGAUCACCAUAUGCAUUAAUUGCUUGAUCUGGAAAUCUCUCAUAUCUAGCUAGCCUUGUCGACUCAGUUCUUGUUCUAGCAGAUCAUCUAACUUUCUGCUCAAGUGGUUCUUCAUUUCGAGUGGUUGUGGCUUCAUCUUGCUAGUCUUCUUCAAGCACGGUUGGAAUUGUCUCUUGCUCAUAUCGAACUGGGUUCAGUACCACCAUUUUCUUUUGUCCACCAAAACAUCUCUAAUGAUCACUAGUUUAUUAUCAUUGGAUGAGUACAGCUUGUAUGCACCAGUUGAAUGAUUACCUAUGAGCACCAUCGCCUGACUUCUAUCAUCUAGCUUUUUCCUUAAUUUCUCAGAAACAAACUUAACUGCUUUCAUUAAUCAAAUAUGAAAUGAUAUAAGGAGGAAUCUCAUCAAACAUACAGCGUCGAGUCCAAAAAUUGGCCCCUUAGCUAAGGUAUGGGCAACCAUAUUCACUUGACGUUUUAUAAACUUAACCUCAAACUUAGGAAACUCUAGUAACAACAACUUAAUCGAUUUUAUAAUUGAAAUAAACUCCAAAUUACCAAUCGAAUUGGAACUAAUGGCUUUGACCACAUGUUGAGAAUCACUUUCAAAAAUCACUGGCUGGUUAUGAAGAUUAGAGGCUGCUUGGAUAGCUUCCUUAAUAGCUAAGGCCUCCGCCUCCAACACGGAAAAAGUGCAACUAUCUCAAGCAGUACCUGCAGCAAUAAAGUUACCAUGAUCGUUACGAAUACACCAACCUCGAUUCGUAGUCCCGACACGCUGAUUAAAGGCAGCAUCCACAUUACAUUUGAAACAACCAAUAGAAGGCGGAUUCCAAGUAACCAAAUCUCCGUUAUCUGAAUGCGUUUCCCGAAGAUUUUAAGCUAGAAACCAAUAUUGCCACUUAUGGAAGGCUACCCAACAAGCUUAGAUGCAUCUUCCUUUUCGUUGUGCCAAACAAAGUCAUUCCUAUUCUUACAUAAUCCUUCCAAUAUAAUCGCAACUCUCCACGCAGUUUUCCUAUCUUCCUUAGAACAAAUGUCAAGGAUAAGGGACCUGAUAUCAUGAUAAGUGUUAUAUCUUAUUUUUAUAUAGUAAUAAGAGUGUAUGUCAUCUUUUAACUUGAAAUCACUAUAGUUCCUAUAUGAGGAGUUGAUCACUUUAUUAUUAUUAUCAAAUAUUGUCGAUACAAGACAAUUGUAAAGUUGGUUGACUGGGUAGUGAAAGUCAUGUAGAGAAGCUUAGGUGACCAAUUUGGUCAUGAGUAAUAUUUAUGUGUCUAUUGGUUGAGUAUGACAGUAAAAUAGAUAGUCAUGCUGAGAUAAAUAAAUAUCAGAUAUUAAACUUAUUUAUUGUUAUUAAAUAUACUCGAUUCUCAAACAAUAAAAUAUAUAUAUAUAUAUAUAUAUAUAUAUAUAUAUAUAUAUAUAUAUAUAUAAAUAAAAGUCAGAAAUCAUUGACAUUAGGUAUAGGUCUAAAAGACUUGCACCAAUUCUUAUUAUGUAUGUAAUCAUUAUUUCGUAAAAAUUAUAUCCCAUUACAUGUCAUUUUUGUCACUUAUAUAGAAGUGAUUUGUUGCUAAACAUCAUUAGUAAUUUAAUACUAUUAUCAAUGUCACGAAAAUCAAAAGUCGACACACAUUUAUGGAUAGAUAAAAAAAAUUACAUAUAUGAAUGAGAUUCAUAUAUCAAACAUGUCAAAUUUGACUCAUAGAUAAUAUCAAGUGGGCAAGGGCGGGGCUGAAUACGAUUUAGAAGUAUUAUUAUAAUCUGAAUCAUUAGUAUUGUUAUAUAUGCUUGUAACAUUGAAAUUUUAAAGUGUGUAGUUUAGGCUGAAUUAAUAAGACGAACUAUAGCUGCAAACAUAAGCAAUUUAACUUAAUUGUAUGAAUAUAACUUUUGUGUGUUUUCUCUACUCUGAGCUGUAUUCGCAUAUCUGUUCCAACAAAACAUGAUUUUAUUAAUUAAAGAUACACGAGUCGGAAACAAAUUAAUCAAAAACUUAUUUUUAUUAGUAAGUAAUUAAAUAUAAUUUUAGUUAUCCUCUUUUUAGUCAAAUAUUAUUACAUUAAUUACUAUAUUAGUUAUUUUCCUUCACUUAUAUUUAAAUCUUAAUCCUCCAACACAUUUAACCCUUAGUUAAAAUUAGUGGAGCUACAAAACCUAGUUUAUGAAUUCCAUUAUGAUUAUGAACUUCGUUUAUCAAUUUUAAUAUCUUCAAUCUAAUCACAUUUUUAAUAAUUUUAAUAGUUUCUAAUUUUUCAUACAAAUCUUUGGUAUUACAUUUUAUUGUUUAUCUGUUGAUAUUUUAUAUGAAAUACUAUAUAUUUCUCUUCUAUAAAUAUUUAUAUGAAUAUGUAUUAUUUCCUAUAUCAAAAAUAAAAUAGAUAAUAAACCAUUAAACCCUACAUUUUUUUCAAUCAUGUUUCAACUUUUAAGAGACCCCUCAAACCAACAUUAUGCAGCACAAAUAAAGUAACCAAUUAUGUUCAUAUGGAAGAAGAUAUGUACGUGUGUGUGGGGGUUUGCUAGCUAAAGAUUGUUGCCACUUUAUGACAAUCACGUGUCUAACUAACAUUGGUGUCAUUUCUGGUUAGAAUCCCACUACGUUUCUAUUGGAAACAAGACCCUAACAUGUAUGUACAAGAGGCUAUAAUAGAGGGACUUUUUAAGUGCAUUGAUAUGAGCUUGACACAAAAACAAGAAUAUGUUCCCUAUAGCCUCAUCCAUUUUGCCAAUCAAAUCAUCAAACAGAAUACUACAAUCUAAUUACCAAGAAAUUGAUCUCAUAAGCAAGAAACCAAGAGAAUCAUGAUGUCCUCGUACGUUAGGAGGACGUGUUUAACUACUAAUGUUUUUUAUUUAGGGCUAAUCGAACCAUGCACUUUUGUUGAUAAAUAAUUAAAAUGAGGUUCCUAGACAGGUGGAUGGUAUAUGAUCUGUGUUAGAUUUUAUUAAUCCCCCACGGGGCUUGUUGUGGUGACAACGUGACACUACAAAGACAUGGAAUUAUUCAAUAUAAAUGUACUAUUUUUUUUUUUUAGUUUUUCACAUAUUCAAAAUCCACUAGAGUUAAUUUAGAAAAUUUCUUUACCCACCUCUCUAUGGGUGGUCACCUCCUGCGAAAAACCAAAACUACCCCUGUUUCGGAAGUUCAUUUUCGAAAGCGUGUUUUUUAAAAAAAUUGACUUACUUCGGAAGUUCAUUUCCGAAACAAUUAUUUCGGAAGUUCACUUCCGAAAUACUGCGAUUUCUGCAGAUUUAUCAAAACACUCCCCCUCCCCCAAUCAUUUACCCUAAAUCAAAACAAAAAGUGGCAGAGGCGAAAAUUUGUGCAAACAGAAUUCCAAAGCUGCAUCAAGGCUCCAAUCACACUGUUAAACAACAUUCAAAAGCCCUCAAUCCUAACACUUUGAACAUGUCUUCUAGAGAGGGCGCUAAGGGAAGAAAGGAUUCUUCAAAGAAAGAGGUGAAAGAGGUGAAGGAGGUGAAGGAGAAGAAGAAGGUUUCGACCGGCUCUACUUCUCGUUCCCAGGGGACCCGGGGCCCGGAUGCUCAAGCUCAGUCUUCAGGCGUGAGAGUCGUGAUCAACGCUGAUGGUUCUGAGACUGAGUGGGAUGAGGAUUGGUAUAAUUAUCUUCAUUCGGAGGAGUUCGCUCGUCGGGAAGAAUAACGUGUUUUUUUUUGUUUGAUGUGUAUUUUGUAACGCUCGUCGGGCAGAAUAACAUGUUUUUGUUUUGUUUUGUUCUGAUUUCGGAUUGUAUCGCACAGUGUAUUUGUAUUGGAUUUAUCAUGUUAGUUUUUGAAAGUGGUAACCGGGGUCGGAACAUAUGACUGAUGAGGUGGAUGUCUGGAGGAAGUAGAACUGGAGAUACGUCCACCACGAGACAAAGUAGCCAAUCAAUGUAAGCUAUAGUUUAUGAUUAUCA